This 449-nucleotide ribosomal RNA is filed under the name uncultured bacterium. RNAcentral describes it as "partial 16S ribosomal RNA". It matches the Rfam family "Bacterial small subunit ribosomal RNA", at positions 29 to 523 of the family's 1533-position model. The record is from RNAcentral.
AGCGAACGCUGGCGGCAGGCUUAACACAUGCAAGUCGAACGCAUCCUUCGGGGUGAGUGGCAGACGGGUGAGUAACGCGUGGGAAUCUACCCAUCUCUGCGGAAUAGCUCCGGGAAACUGGAAUUAAUACCGCAUACGCCCUACGGGGGAAAGAUUUAUCGGGGAUGGAUGAGCCCGCGUUGGAUUAGCUAGUUGGUGGGGUAAAGGCCUACCAAGGCGACGAUCCAUAGCUGGUCUGAGAGGAUGAUCAGCCACAUUGGGACUGAGACACGGCCCAAACUCCUACGGGAGGCAGCAGUGGGGAAUAUUGGACAAUGGGCGCAAGCCUGAUCCAGCCAUGCCGCGUGAGUGAUGAAGGCCUUAGGGUUGUAAAGCUCUUUCACCGAUGAAGAUAAUGACGGUAGUCGGAGAAGAAGCCCCGGCUAACUUCGUGCCAGCCGCCGCGGUAA